RNAcentral lists this ribosomal RNA (515 nucleotides) under Rhodotorula mucilaginosa. RNAcentral describes it as "eukaryotic LSU rRNA". It matches the Rfam family "Eukaryotic large subunit ribosomal RNA", at positions 124 to 655 of the family's 3401-position model. The record is from RNAcentral. Lineage: Eukaryota; Fungi; Basidiomycota; Microbotryomycetes; Sporidiobolales; Sporidiobolaceae.
GGCACCUUCGGUGUCCGAGUUGUAAUCUCUAGAAAUGUUUUCCGCGUUGGACCGCACACAAGUCUGUUGGAAUACAGCGGCAUAGUGGUGAGACCCCCGUAUAUGGUGCGGACGCCCAGCGCUUUGUGAUACAUUUUCGAAGAGUCGAGUUGUUUGGGAAUGCAGCUCAAAUUGGGUGGUAAAUUCCAUCUAAAGCUAAAUAUUGGCGAGAGACCGAUAGCGAACAAGUACCGUGAGGGAAAGAUGAAAAGCACUUUGGAAAGAGAGUUAACAGUACGUGAAAUUGUUGGAAGGGAAACGCUUGAAGUCAGACUUGCUUGCUGAGCAAUCGGUUUGCAGGCCAGCAUCAGUUUUCCGGGAUGGAUAAUGGUAGAGAGAAGGUAGCAGUUUCGGCUGUGUUAUAGCUCUCUGCUGGAUACAUCUUGGGGGACUGAGGAACGCAGUGUGCCUUUGGCGGGGGUUUCGACCUCUUCACACUUAGGAUGCUGGUGGAAUGGCUUUAAACGACCCGUCUU